Molecule: ribosomal RNA, 514 nt
Filed under: Scheffersomyces shehatae
Lineage: Eukaryota; Fungi; Ascomycota; Pichiomycetes; Serinales; Debaryomycetaceae
Description: eukaryotic LSU rRNA
Rfam family: Eukaryotic large subunit ribosomal RNA
Source: RNAcentral
GAAAUCUGGCACCUUCGGUGUCCGAGUUGUAAUUUGAAGAAGGUAACUUUGGAGUUGGCUCUUGUCUAUGUUCCUUGGAACAGGACGUCACAGAGGGUGAGAAUCCCGUGCGAUGAGAUGUCCAACUCUAUGUAAAGUGCUUUCGAAGAGUCGAGUUGUUUGGGAAUGCAGCUCUAAGUGGGUGGUAAAUUCCAUCUAAAGCUAAAUAUUGGCGAGAGACCGAUAGCGAACAAGUACAGUGAUGGAAAGAUGAAAAGAACUUUGAAAAGAGAGUGAAAAAGUACGUGAAAUUGUUGAAAGGGAAGGGUUUGAGAUCAGACUUGGUAUUUUGUAUGUCUUGCUUUCGGGUGGGGCCUCUGCAGUUUACUGGGCCAGCAUCGGUUUGGACGGUAGGAUAAUGACAUUGGAAUGUGGCACUACUUCGGUGGUGUGUUAUAGACUUUGUUGAUACUGCCUGUCUAGACCGAGGACUGCGUCUUUGACUAGGAUGCUGGCAUAAUGAUCCUAAACCGCC